Molecule: long non-coding RNA, 1876 nt
Organism: Tympanuchus pallidicinctus (lesser prairie-chicken)
Lineage: Eukaryota; Metazoa; Chordata; Aves; Galliformes; Phasianidae
Exons: 2
Source: RefSeq, a predicted model, not a curated record
GACCACAGAGGAAGCAAUGCAUAGGGAGGAGGAGGAACACAGCGGAAGGCCUUCUUGCAGCACAAGAUCCUGCUUCACCUGACUGGCACAGAUUAGAGGGAGCGAACAGUGAUCCUAACAUCCAUAUACUGACUUGAGGAUGGCAUGGUCAAAUUCUACGGAGCUGAUGGGUUCAUGAUCUCAACUCUUCAUUCUCCCUUUCUUGGCAAUUAAAAUAAUAUUUUAGCAAAGUACAUCUAUUUUUACAUGAUAGACAUUAAUAAUGAAGAUGAAAUAUAGUGGAAUAAUGAUUAGCAGCCUGCAGCUUGUUCACAUAGCAUAGGAUUUCUAUUGUUUCUCCUUAGAAUAGAGAUUUACAGUGUCUGAUUUAUCUGCAGAUUGAGGCUUUCAGCUAUGGCAAGCAGACCGAAAUUGGCAUGUGUAUGACUUAUUAAGACAAGAUCUCUAAACUGGCUUUUAUGUGUGCUUCUUAGAAUCAUAGAAUGAUUACGGUUGGAAAGGACCUCUAACAUCAUCUAGAUCAACUGUCCACCUGCCACCAAUAUUGUUCACUAAAUCACGUUCCCAAUUACCACAUUUAUGCAGUACUUGACCAUCAACAGGGAUGGUGACCCUGCCUCAACCCUGGGCAGCUAGUUCCUAUACCUCAUUAGUCUUACAGAACACAAAUUUUUCUUAAUAUCCAACUGAAGCUUCCUCGGCACAACUAGAUGCCAUUCACUCUUGUCCCCUUGCUGUUAUCUGGGAAAAGCUGACACUCACCUUACCACAACCACCUCUCAGGCAGUUGUAGAGAGCAAUGAGAUCUCCCCUGAGCCUCCUGUUCUUCAGGCGAAAUAAUCCCAGUUCCCUCAACCCCUUCCCAUAAGACUUGUACUCCAGACCCUUCACAGCUUCAUGCUCUUCUCUGAACAUAUUCUAGGUCCUUAAUGCCUUUCUCAUAGUGAAGAGACCAAAUGGAAACAUAGCAAAGUGUAGCUCGCCAGUGCCAUGAACAGAAUGAUCACCCCCCACUGUUGCUGGCUCUGCUAUUUCUGAUACAUUUCUGACAUUUGGUUGGAUUCUCCUCAUACAAAUUUGACCACAGCUUUAAAAUAAAUAAAAGAAAUAAGCAUAAGCACCACCCAUUGUAGCCAUUACAAUAAAUUGUUCAGCUCUCAAAACUUAUAGACAAAGACUCUUCUCAGUUUAUGGAUUCUCAUUCCAAUCCUGCAUCACUAAAUAUGUUAGUGAUAGAUUUUUUGGCCCAGCUGAAAGCCACAUUGAAGCUCUAUCACAAGAGAAGUAACUGAACUCUAGUGAUCAUGGAAUAUGCAAUCAAAUAAAUUCCACACGUAUAGAAUCUGUACUGAAAAUAUUUGUCUCCUCAGCUCCAGAAGUGAUUUAAUCCAUGCUAAAAUUUUGGAAAGCAGUGUGUAGCAAAAAUCAGGAUCUAAAAGCUAAUGGAAAAUGUCAGAUUAACUUGUAUGAGGGAAGAGAAGAUUCUUGGUGUGAAAAAAUGUGGUUUUCUAACACGUUGAUUCUGUCUGCACAUUUAUAAUUGCACUGCACAUAGCAUAAGUGAUCAAAUAUUUAUCAAAAGUGAAUGUUAAAAUUGCAUGUGGAAACAAAGUGAUAAACACUCAUGGAGAAGUGCUUGUGGUUGAAUAGAACUUGUGGUGCCUUUUUCUGUCAACUAAGAAAGUGAAACCCUGUGACUUUUAAUAAAUCUCUGCUAGGCAUCUAGCUGGAGUUAAUACAGAGAAUACAGAAUAUUUGCUUUUGUAUAUAGGAAAGGGAAAAAAAUUUAAUUAUAUGUGAGUAACUUCAUCUACUGGAGGAUACUACUAUAUGACUGGAAAAAAAGUUAAAUUUGUCAGAUUAAAUAUUUAUUGAG